UGCUUCUUUGACUUUUAAAUGAUUAAAUUUAUUUAAUAUUUUCUCAAUAUAAUGAGAUUGGCAAAGAGCAAAACCCCCACUAUGUUUUUUUACUUUGAUACCUAAGAUUGUAUCUACCUCUUUUAAAUAUUUCAUUUUAAAUUUUGAGGUUAGAUACUUCUUUGUAUCAUUCACAUCUUUCAUAUUUAUUCUAAUUAUAAGCAUGUCAUCAA
This 212-nucleotide unclassified non-coding RNA is filed under the name Hevea brasiliensis (rubber tree). The record is from RNAcentral. Lineage: Eukaryota; Viridiplantae; Streptophyta; Magnoliopsida; Malpighiales; Euphorbiaceae.